This 77-nucleotide transfer RNA is filed under the name Nitrososphaeria archaeon. Its description in RNAcentral is "tRNA-Pro". It matches the Rfam family "tRNA". Rfam says of the family: Transfer RNA (tRNA) molecules are approximately 80 nucleotides in length. Their secondary structure includes four short double-helical elements and three loops (D, anti-codon, and T loops). The record is from RNAcentral. Lineage: Archaea; Thermoproteati; Nitrososphaerota; Nitrososphaeria.
GGGGUCGUGGGCUAGUAUGGCAUGCUGCCGAGCUCGGGCCUCGGUGAUCGUGGGUUCAAAUCCCACCGACCCCACCA